AAGUCGUAACAAGGUUUCCGUAGGUGAACCUGCGGAAGGAUCAUUAACGAAGAACUUUCGGGGCCUCGCGCCCCGUCUCUUCCCAACCCUGUGCACCGUGCCCUUUUUUGCGCUCUAUGAGUCCAGGAUGCAAUACAACUACAAAAGGCA
RNAcentral lists this unclassified non-coding RNA (150 nucleotides) under plant metagenome. Its description in RNAcentral is "partial contains small subunit ribosomal RNA and internal transcribed spacer 1". The stretch from base 1 to 46 matches the Rfam family "Eukaryotic small subunit ribosomal RNA", at positions 1786 to 1831 of the family's 1831-position model. The record is from RNAcentral.